GGGUUGCUGACUUAUUGAUAUAUACCCCACAUCUCUUUUUGUUCAUGUCAAUUUUCUAAAUUUGUGAACCAUUCAAAGUCUGGGAUAUAAAUUUAGACACAAUUGAUAUUGAGGUAUGAUAUUAAUUACAAGUACCAAGUGAAGUGAAAAAUGGUUUAUAUUAAGUGUUAAUUAUCAUUUCAACAUCUUUGAAUUAAGAUUUUUAUGCCCCACCUACGAUCUACGAUAGUAGAGGGUCAUUUUGUUUUCUGGUCUGUCUGUCCGUUCAUCUGUUCGUUCCUUCGUCUGUGCGUCUGUUCGUCCCGC
RNAcentral lists this long non-coding RNA (306 nucleotides) under Mytilus galloprovincialis (Mediterranean mussel). Lineage: Eukaryota; Metazoa; Mollusca; Bivalvia; Mytilida; Mytilidae. The record is from RNAcentral.